GAUGAACGCUGGCGGCGUGCCUAACACAUGCAAGUCGAACGGUCUCUUCGGAGAUAGUGGCGGACGGGUGAGUAACGCGUGAAAAUCUGCCUUUAGGUUCGGGACAACAGUUGGAAACGACUGCUAAUACCGAAUGUGUCGCAAGAUGAAAGAUUAAUUGCCUAAAGAUGAGUUCGCGUCCGAUUAGCUAGUUGGUGUGGUAAGAGCGCACCAAGGCGACGAUCGGUAGCUGGUCUGAGAGGAUGAUCAGCCACACUGGGACUGAGACACGGCCCAG
This 277-nucleotide ribosomal RNA is filed under the name uncultured Rivularia sp. Its description in RNAcentral is "partial 16S ribosomal RNA". It matches the Rfam family "Bacterial small subunit ribosomal RNA", at positions 28 to 334 of the family's 1533-position model. Lineage: Bacteria; Bacillati; Cyanobacteriota; Cyanophyceae; Nostocales; Rivulariaceae. The record is from RNAcentral.